AAUCACGCGCUAUUAUUCUGUAAGCUACAACGACGACACACUGGCCUGCACAUGCAUGUGUCCAUGCAUGCUCGAUCGAUGAGCUGAGCUCAUCAGGACUCCUGGCUUGGUAGCGGGCAGCAGCAUGUGUACAUCAACCGCUCCCGGCAGAACGCCUCCGUUUCAUCCCAGCGGCGUGACCAUUUCCCUGGUGUCUUGCAGGCUUUGAUGGCACGACGGGUGCAAUACUC
RNAcentral lists this long non-coding RNA (230 nucleotides) under Setaria viridis. RNAcentral describes it as "long non-coding RNA (SVIR_LNC005702)". Lineage: Eukaryota; Viridiplantae; Streptophyta; Magnoliopsida; Poales; Poaceae. The record is from RNAcentral.